RNAcentral lists this transfer RNA (73 nucleotides) under Chloroflexota bacterium. RNAcentral describes it as "Chloroflexi bacterium (groundwater metagenome) tRNA-Thr". It matches the Rfam family "tRNA". Rfam says of the family: Transfer RNA (tRNA) molecules are approximately 80 nucleotides in length. Their secondary structure includes four short double-helical elements and three loops (D, anti-codon, and T loops). Lineage: Bacteria; Bacillati; Chloroflexota. The record is from RNAcentral.
GCCGACGUAGCUCAAUCGGCAGAGCACAUGUUUUGUAAACAUGGGGUUAUGGGUUCAACUCCCAUCGUCGGCU